UUGAGCAAUCGAGGGAGUGGCGGACGGGUGAGUAACACGUGGGUACCUACCCCAAGGUGAGGAAUACCGGCGAGAAAUCGCCGACAAUACCGCAUAGGCUUCGCAAGAAGCAAAGCUCGCAAGGGCGCCAUGGGAAGGGCCUGCGGCCGAUUAGCUGGUUGGUGAGGUAAAAGCUCACCAAGGCGACGAUCGGUAGCUGGUCUGAGAGGAUGAUCAGCCACACUGGAACUGAAACACGGUCCAGACUCCUACGGGAGGCAGCAGUGGGGAAUUUUGCGCAAUGGGGGAAACCCUGACGCAGCAACGCCGCGUGGAGGAUGAAGCCCCUUGGG
Molecule: ribosomal RNA, 332 nt
Filed under: uncultured bacterium
Lineage: Bacteria
Description: bacterial SSU rRNA
Rfam family: Bacterial small subunit ribosomal RNA
Source: RNAcentral